GGGUUGUGAGGUUAAGCGACUAAGCGUACACGGUGGAUGCCCUGGCAGUCAGAGGCGAUGAAGGGCGUGCUAAUCUGCGAUAAGCGCCGGUAAGGUGAUAUGAACCGUUAUAACCGGCGAUACCCGAAUGGGGAAACCCAGUGUGAUUCGUCACACUAUCAUUAACUGAAUCCAUAGGUUAAUGAGGCGAACCGGGGGAACUGAAACAUCUAAGUACCCCGAGGAAAAGAAAUCAACCGAGAUUCCCCCAGUAGCGGCGAGCGAACGGGGAGGAGCCCAGAGCCUGAAUCAGCAUGUGUGUUAGUGGAAGCGUCUGGAAAGGCGCGCGAUACAGGGUGACAGCCCCGUACACAAAAGCGCAUGUGCUGUGAGCUCGAUGAGUAGGGCGGGACACGUGGUAUCCUGUCUGAAUAUGGGGGGACCAUCCUCCAAGGCUAAAUACUCCUGACUGACCGAUAGUGAACCAGUACCGUGAGGGAAAGGCGAAAAGAACCCCGGCGAGGGGAGUGAAAAAGAACCUGAAACCGUGUACGUACAAGCAGUGGGAGCACAGGUUUACCUGUGUGACUGCGUACCUUUUGUAUAAUGGGUCAGCGACUUAUAUUCUGUAGCAAGGUUAACCGUAUAGGGGAGCCGCAGGGAAACCGAGUCUUAACCGGGCGUUAAGUUGCAGGGUAUAGACCCGAAACCCGGUGAUCUAGCCAUGGGCAGGUUGAAGGUUGGGUAACACUAACUGGAGGACCGAACCGACUAAUGUUGAAAAAUUAGCGGAUGACCUGUGGCU
Molecule: ribosomal RNA, 784 nt
Filed under: Salmonella enterica subsp. enterica serovar Derby
Lineage: Bacteria; Pseudomonadati; Pseudomonadota; Gammaproteobacteria; Enterobacterales; Enterobacteriaceae
Description: partial 23S ribosomal RNA
Rfam family: Bacterial large subunit ribosomal RNA
Source: RNAcentral